Molecule: ribosomal RNA, 274 nt
Filed under: uncultured bacterium
Lineage: Bacteria
Description: partial 16S ribosomal RNA
Rfam family: Bacterial small subunit ribosomal RNA
Source: RNAcentral
AUACGGAGGGUGCAAGCGUUAAUCGGAAUUACUGGGCGUAAAGCGUACGUAGGCGGUUAUUUAAGUCAGAUGCGAAAGCCCCGGGCUUAACUUGGGAACUGCAUUUGAAACUGGGUAACUAGAGUUUAGUAGAGGGGAGUGGAAUUUCAGGUGUAGCGGUGAAAUGCGUAGAGAUCUGAAGGAACACCAGUGGCGAAGGCGACUCCCUGGACUAAAACUGACGCUGAGGUACGAAAGCGUGGGUAGCAAACAGGAUUAGAAACCCUAGUAGUCC